GGGGUUGUAGCUCAGUGGUAGAGCGCUUGCCUAGCAAGCAUGAGGUACUGGGUUCAAUCCUCAACACCACA
RNAcentral lists this transfer RNA (71 nucleotides) under Marmota monax (woodchuck). Its description in RNAcentral is "tRNA.Ala". It matches the Rfam family "tRNA". Rfam says of the family: Transfer RNA (tRNA) molecules are approximately 80 nucleotides in length. Their secondary structure includes four short double-helical elements and three loops (D, anti-codon, and T loops). Lineage: Eukaryota; Metazoa; Chordata; Mammalia; Rodentia; Sciuridae. The record is from RNAcentral.